GACGAACGCUGGCGGCGUGCUUAACACAUGCAAGUCGAACGGAAAGGCCCUGCUUUUGUGGGGUGCUCGAGUGGCGAACGGGUGAGUAACACGUGAGUAACCUGCCCUUGACUUUGGGAUAACUUCAGGAAACUGGGGCUAAUACCGGAUAGGAGCUCCUGCUGCAUGGUGGGGGUUGGAAAGUUUCGGCGGUUGGGGAUGGACUCGCGGCUUAUCAGCUUGUUGGUGGGGUAGUGGCUUACCAAGGCUUUGACGGGUAGCCGGCCUGAGAGGGUGACCGGCCACAUUGGGAUUGAGAUACGGCCCAGACUCUUACGGGAGGCAGCAGUGGGGAAUAUUGCACAAUGGGCGGAAGCCUGAUGCAGCAACGCCGCGUGCGGGAUGACGGCCUUCGGGUUGUAAACCGCUUUCGCCUGUGACGAAGCGUGAGUGACGGUAAUGGGUAAAGAAGCACCGGCUAACUACGU
RNAcentral lists this ribosomal RNA (467 nucleotides) under uncultured bacterium. Its description in RNAcentral is "partial 16S ribosomal RNA". It matches the Rfam family "Bacterial small subunit ribosomal RNA", at positions 28 to 506 of the family's 1533-position model. The record is from RNAcentral.